UUAAAUGACAUUACUGUGGAUCUUAACGAAACCAUCGAUGGGAUCAAAGUGAACAACAUUCACCUCUAGCAAAUCAACACCGUUCAUUUUUACCACAACGAAGUGUUCCCAAGUGGCAGACUAAAUCAUGACCGUCAAUGACCUGGCCAAAACUCGCAACACGCUUUCACUUGCAUUCCUCACAUACGCUCCUAGUGCCGCGUAGUCUUCAAACGCUCUAACAUCAAUCCGACACUGUUUGAACUUUGGCAAAAACAGCCAAAACGCUGUCGUCAUAACAAACCCAACGGUCAAGAAUCCUGACAAUAACCUUGGCAGUUGCCACUUCUUGUUUAGCGCCUUCUUAAGAGCAAUCUCAGCCGUUAAACAGAACCCAUGCAGAAGAAAGAACGCAGAGAUAUCCCACGUGGGCCUCACUCGCCCCAGGUAAUAGAACAUGAGCUCGUGCAUUGCUGCCGACACCACAAAUGUUCCGAAAACAGCCGGAAGUGUGGCCAACUCCCGGCCAAUGACACGUGCGAAGAAGUUGCGUGUGGGUUCAUAAACGGUGGGGUGUAGGAUACGAGUGACCAUGAGGUUCCAUCUCUUGCCCCAGAAAUCUUGAAGCGAUGUAGAGAGGUAGGGCUCAUUGAACUGUGGUUCGAGCUCUAUGCCUAGCAUGGCUCGAGCCAGGGCUGCACUUACGGCUAGAGUGAGUUCCAAGAAGAAAUAAAUAUGGAAGGCAUAGAGAACCAGGAUGAAUUUUGGAUGGAUAUAUUCACUGUAAUCAUAUACACGAACCAACAUGGCCACAGCUAUGCCCUUUAUUGCAUAGUUUAGAGGACCUUCUCUUGGUUUUCUUGAUGGGUUUUCCUUGAUUUGGCCAUAUUGGUGUGAUUUUAGAGGUGGGUUUUCUUUAUUUUGAUGAUUUAAGGGCUUGUUUGGUGGUGGAUUUUUUCGGAUCUUGAUGGGUAAGCAAGAAACAGCCACAAAAAGAGGGAGAGAAAUUGAUGGAUCUGCAGAAAGAGGACCUUUACCAAAAGCAAAGAGAAGGAGCUUGAAAUUGGCAAGCCAAGAAAUGAAAAAAAGCAGUAGUACCACCAAGAUGAGGAGAGAAGAGAUUAAGAGGAAGGUAGAAAAAGAAGCAAACAACUGGGAGAACAAAGAGUAGUCUUUUGAUCCCUAUAGGAAUAAUGUUUCUAAUUGCAUAACAAUGACAUAGAGAAAU
Molecule: unclassified non-coding RNA, 1207 nt
Filed under: Hevea brasiliensis (rubber tree)
Lineage: Eukaryota; Viridiplantae; Streptophyta; Magnoliopsida; Malpighiales; Euphorbiaceae
Source: RNAcentral